GGAACAUGCAGGCCACUGGAUAGGAGGAGUGAGUGGGAACAUGCAGGCCACUGGAUAGGAGGAGUGAGUGGGAACAUGCAGGCCACUGGAUAGCAGGAGUGAGUGGGAACAUGCAGGCCACUGGAUAGGAGGAGUGAGUGGGAACAUGCAGGCCACUGGAUAGGAGGAGUGAGUGGGAACAUGCAGGCCACUGGAUAGGAGGAGUGAGUGGGAACAUGCAGGCCAUCUGAUAGGAGGAGUGAUGGGAACGUGCAGGCCAUCUGAUAGGAGGAGUGAGUGGGAACAUGCAGGCCACUGGAUAGGAGGAGUGAGUGGGAAC
Oncorhynchus tshawytscha (Chinook salmon) is the source of this 319-nucleotide long non-coding RNA. Lineage: Eukaryota; Metazoa; Chordata; Actinopteri; Salmoniformes; Salmonidae. The record is from Ensembl.